CUAGUAAUCGCGAAUCAGAAUGUCGCGAUGAAUACGUUCCCGGGUCUUGUACACACCGCCCGUCACACCACGAGAGUUUACAACACCCGAAGUCAGUGGCCUAACCGCAAGGAGGGAGCUGCCUAAGGUGGGGUAGAUGAUUGGGGUGAAGUCGUAACAAGGUACC
This 166-nucleotide ribosomal RNA is filed under the name uncultured bacterium. Its description in RNAcentral is "partial 16S ribosomal RNA". It matches the Rfam family "Bacterial small subunit ribosomal RNA", at positions 1335 to 1500 of the family's 1533-position model. The record is from RNAcentral.